This 496-nucleotide ribosomal RNA is filed under the name uncultured bacterium. Its description in RNAcentral is "partial 16S ribosomal RNA". It matches the Rfam family "Bacterial small subunit ribosomal RNA", at positions 28 to 506 of the family's 1533-position model. The record is from RNAcentral.
GAUGAACGCUGGCGGCGUGCCUAAUACAUGCAAGUCGAGCGAACAGAUGAGGAGCUUGCUCCUCUGACGUUAGCGGCGGACGGGUGAGUAACACGUGGAUAACCUACCUAUAAGACUGGGAUAACUUCGGGAAACCGGAGCUAAUACCGGAUAAUAUAUUGAACCGCAUGGUUCAAUAGUGAAAGACGGUUUUGCUGUCACUUAUAGAUGGAUCCGCGCCGCAUUAGCUAGUUGGUAAGGUAACGGCUUACCAAGGCGACGAUGCGUAGCCGACCUGAGAGGGUGAUCGGCCACACUGGAACUGAGACACGGUCCAGACUCCUACGGGAGGCAGCAGUAGGGAAUCUUCCGCAAUGGGCGAAAGCCUGACGGAGCAACGCCGCGUGAGUGAUGAAGGUCUUCGGAUCGUAAAACUCUGUUAUUAGGGAAGAACAAAUGUGUAAGUAACUAUGCACGUCUUGACGGUACCUAAUCAGAAAACCACGGCUAACUACGU